This 450-nucleotide ribosomal RNA is filed under the name uncultured bacterium. Its description in RNAcentral is "partial 16S ribosomal RNA". It matches the Rfam family "Bacterial small subunit ribosomal RNA", at positions 354 to 796 of the family's 1533-position model. The record is from RNAcentral.
GUGGGGAAUCUUCCGCAAUGGACGAAAGUCUGACGGAGCGACGCCGCGUGAGUGAAGAAGGCCUUCGGGUUGUAAAGCUCUGUCAUCAGGGACGAACGGCCGGUGGAGUGGAAAGCCAUCGGAUUGACGGUACCUGAGAAGGAAGCCACGGCUAACUACGUGCCAGCAGCCGCGGUAAUACGUAGGUGGCAAGCGUUGUCCGGAAUUAUUGGGCGUAAAGCGCGCGCAGGUGGGAUCUUAAGUCCUUUUUUAAAGUUCGGAGCUCAACUCCGUGAUGGGAUGGAAACUGGGAUUCUUGAGUACCGGAGAGGAAAGCGGAAUUCCCCGUGUAGCGGUGAAAUGCGUAGAUAUGGGGAGGAACACCAGUGGCGAAGGCGGCUUUCUGGACGGUGUCUGACACUGAGGCGCGAAAGCCAGGGGAGCGAACGGGAUUAGAUACCCUUGUAGUCC